Molecule: long non-coding RNA, 850 nt
Organism: Brassica napus (rape)
Lineage: Eukaryota; Viridiplantae; Streptophyta; Magnoliopsida; Brassicales; Brassicaceae
Exons: 6
Source: RefSeq, a predicted model, not a curated record
UUAGUUCCAGAGCUUGACGAAUAUCCUCCUCUUGACCUAUAUGCCAGUACUCGAGUUGAGCCCAGCCGGAAGCUCUAUCAAUCAGUUGUUCGAUGAGAGCUUCGACGGUGUCUACCAUUUUUGAUUUGACGGAAGAAACGAAGAAGUCUGAGAGACGACGACGAGGCGAGAAUAAAAAGCUAAACCAGAUCAUUAUAGCACCGGUUAUCGGCGAUUCAUUAUAUUCUUCUUCUUCAACUGCGGGAUCAGAGAGCUUUUGUUGGAUUCCAAUCACAACGAGAACUGGAAUGGCAGAGCAGAUAAGUUUGACCGUUGCUUGUACCCACAUUUCCGGUUCUACAUGAGGGAAGUGAGAACGGUGGUUUACUCUCAGUUUGUUGGAAUCUUACAAGAGCGUGACGGUUGAUGCCAUGGCAAAGGCCUUUGGUGUUUCAGUGGACUUCAUUGAUCAGGAGCUGUCAUGCUUCACUGCAAGAUAGUCAAAGUUGCAGGUGUUUUGGAGACAAAGAAAGCAUUUUACCAGGCAACAAUCAAGCAAGGGGAUUUCUAGCUAAACAGGAUCCAGAAGCUGUCUCAAGUCAUCAUCACUUUAGUUAGUUGCAGAUAUUAAUCUUUGCAAGGCAUAAAAGUGUUGGAUGGUUUGGAACAAAAGGCUAAGGCUAGUGGUGCUUCUCACAGAGGAGUUUGUCAAUGAUUACAUAUUCCCUUGUCUUAGAGCUGGUGCCAUAUAUGAACGAAAAGCCUUGCUUGUCUUAGAGAUUAUGUUGGAGGCAAUGGUAGAUGUAGUAGCAGAGGUUGGAGCUGAUGCCGUUUCACAUGGGUGGUAUUGGCUAAGGAAAUGAUGACCAGG